GCGACGACGGGUAGCCGGCCUGAGACGGCGACCGGCCACACUGGGACUGAGACACGGCCCAGACUCCUACGGGAGGCAGCAGUGGGGAAUAUUGCACAAUGGGCGAAAGCCUGAUGCAGCGACGCCGCGUGAGGGAUGACGGCCUUCGGGUUGUAAACCUCUUUCAGCAGGGAAGAAGCGAAAGUGACGGUACCUGCAGAAGAAGCGCCGGCUAACUACGUGCCAGCAGCCGCGGUAAUACGUAGGGCGCGAGCGUUGUCCGGAAUUAUUGGGCGUAAAGAGCUCGUAGGCGGCUUGUCACGUCGGUUGUGAAAGCCCGGGGCUUAACCCCGGGUCUGCAGUCGAUACGGGCAGGCUAGAGUUCGGUAGGGGAGAUCGGAAUUCCUGGUGUAGCGGUGAAAUGCGCAGAUAUCAGGAGGAACACCGGUGGCGAAGGCGGAUCUCUGGGCCGAUACUGACGCUGAGGAGCGAAAGCGUGGGGAGCGAACAGGAUUAGAUACCCUGGUAGUCC
RNAcentral lists this ribosomal RNA (511 nucleotides) under Streptomyces althioticus. RNAcentral describes it as "bacterial SSU rRNA". It matches the Rfam family "Bacterial small subunit ribosomal RNA", at positions 273 to 796 of the family's 1533-position model. Lineage: Bacteria; Bacillati; Actinomycetota; Actinomycetes; Kitasatosporales; Streptomycetaceae. The record is from RNAcentral.